UCUGGCGAUCACUGCGUGAGGCCCCGGAUCACGGGAGAAGCCGGAGUGGGGCCUUCUCCCACCAAGAGGGGGAAGGGAAGAACGGGAAAGAAGGGCAGUCCAUUUCCCAUGGAACUCACCGCCGUCCUCGGCUGGCGGUGCUCAAGGCUCCUCUUUAUCCCCCAACGAGCACAAACUCUCCAAUGAAAUCGCAGCAGGUUCGAGCUGGAGGCAGGAGCAGCGUGCAGGCAAGCCGAGGCGAGUGGACAAAGUUGAGAGCAAGAAAAAACCGCCUCAAAGCUUUUCCAAAUGCACACAGACUCGCCGUCUCCGUUCAAGCAGAGAAACCAAACUGUUCUUCUGUUUGUGAGGAGGGCAGCAAAAACUCCUCCUCCCUCCCUCCCUCCAGUCUUAGGAGUCAGAAGUUCCUUUGGGCCUUAUCAUAUCCAUCAGGGAUGGUGUUUGUCACUAACAGCUUUACAAAGGUGUUACUUCUCAUCGUCUGCAAUGUGUCGCACUGCUGUCACACACCUAACCUCUUCCCGUGAUUACAUGGUUCAUGAACACCUCUUCAGAAGGCUGGAUUUCCCAAAUACACACACACAAAGUGUGGGUGGUGCAGCCAGUUAAGCUGGUGUUUAUGCACAGGUACAAAAAUGGUCCUCUUUGAUUGACUGAGAAGUCUUUGCAAACAAAAAGUGCUCCAGUCUAAGACCUUCAAUCCAGUGAUCCAGAAAAAUACUUUUUUAUUUCUUCAGAUAUUGUGGCUUUGAGAAGAGAACUUCAGUUUUAUCUCCAUGUUCCCAUAUCCGUUUCAGUGCAGGCAAAGUCACUCCUGCUCUUUUUAUCUUGUCUUCACAUCCUGCUGAGAUAGCAAUGCUGAAGCCAGAAGCUGUUGAAAUGAAAGGUUUUGCUGCCUGUUUUGUCACAGUAAAUGGGUUAUGGAAAGGAAACAUUUGAGGGUGGUGACUCCAAGAAGUCAUCCCAGCAUUAGUUUCUGUUGCAGGAGUGCCAGACAUCUCUUAAAAACAGCUCUUGUAGCCCGUGGAGACGACAUUCAUGGAAGACAGAUCCAACUUCAACUUCUAUGUGCUUUUCUAGCAGUAAAAAUACUUAUUUUCUGGAAACUUUAGUUUAACUCUUUGGAAUAAGUUUGCAGGGAGAAAAUAACUAACAAACUUUUAAUAUACAACAAAUUGAGCUGGAUACAGCUAUUUGUUGCUGGUUCCGCUCUUUCAGCUACACCAGCCAUGGGAAUAAAUCAAAUCUGUUUUGAAAGAGGAACACACUCCUAAUCCUUAGAUGUACAGAAAAGCUUUUAAAAUUCAAAGUGUAGCUUGAGAAUUAUUGGAGAGCUCAGCUAGCAAAAAUUAGCGCAGAUCCGUGCAAGACGUCUCAUUCCUUAUACCCGAGGAAUGCAAGUGAUGCAACCUUCUUAGCAUUAGAAUUAACUAACACUGACAGCUGAAGCUAAAAUAAAAUUGUCACCUACCACUGGAAUAUCUAAGAUCUUUAAACAUGAUGUGUGCUGACUUCUUAAAAGUCAUCUCUAUCUGUUGAGCAUUUUAAAGAAUGGAGUUUCUUCAUAAAGAGGUGGGGGGACAUAUCUAUUUUUCCUCCCCAGUAGCUGCACUGUGUCAUCAUUUGCAUGUUAGACAGCUUUGCAGCUACUGCAAACUAAUAUUAACUCUCUUUAUAUUGGUGAAAAUAAUAAGAUCAUUCUGAUUUAUACCAGCAGGCUUUUAUUUUGUCCAUUUCUGACACGACUCAGUUUGUAGAUGUGUGUAAGGACCUUAACUUUUAAGGAUUUGCAUGGCACAAGCCAUGAAGGCACCCCAGUUAUUGCUGCCAGAAUGGAAGCUUUGCCUGGGCAGCGAGCUGUACUCUUACAAGCACCCCACUGCUGUAUCCCAGCCUUUGCCACACAAACUCCAUUGUGCAUGAAAUACAAUAGCAGAAUAUUAUUCCAUGCUAAUAACAGCAGCCAGCUGAAGUACUGUCUGCUGUGGGAUGAGAGUGAGCUAAACCAGCUGCAUAGUUAAGGAUAUGAAACCAGGGGGAAAUUGGUACAGAUUGGUGAAACUCCCUCCAAAACCACUGACGAUGUGAAAUAUGGAUUUCCUAAAAUAUGAAAGGAAUUACUUGUUCUCCCAUCAUUAGUGGCUGAAGGCAAAUACUCAUGAUAUUGAAUUAACAAAACUACUACCUUUAUAAUGCCAUGGCUGAAGGCUCUUCAGGGAAGACACUGACUCAUAUGACUGCUCUUGCUCAUCCUUUUCAGCCUGAGCAGGAGAAGGACGUGCACAGAGGUAUGACACAUGCUGCUUUGAAUCUCAAGCAAGUGGGGGAGGUACCAUUGUUUCAGAUACUAACCUCAGUGUCAGGAACAAAUUGAUAUGCUGGUCAAUUCUAGGAUUUUGAAUGUGAAUAUUUGCAUUAGUAAAAUAGGCAACCUUAUUUUGCAUUAAUUUUCAAUUUCUCUUCUUAUUUACCCCUUUUCUAAAAAAUGAAAGGUCAAAAGUGGAGAUGAGCAGGUAAAUUGGAGGAGGAGAGGCAUUGGAAUUGAUAGCUGAAUCAAAAAUUUGGAGGGGAAAAUAAUUGUCUUGCAUCUUCUUUUUCUUUGGUUGGAGUUUUUUUUUGCUUUAAAGUGAAGGGGGGGAAAAAGCCCAUCAAUUUGAAUUCAAAGAAGGCCUUUUGUAUGAAACCUGCUCUGUGAAGUUUUGGGGUUAUUGCACUACUUUGCGGAUGCAUUUUCACAAUCUAAAAAUGUUAUGCACAGGUGAAAAUACGAAAGGAUCAUUAUUUUUUUUUUAUUGAGAAAGCAAAACCAAACCGGUUUAGUUCCUUCAAAUCCUUCCCCUAACCUCUUUGGUUUUGACAAAAGCUGUUAUUUUGAUUUGCUCUGGAUUUCUGGGUUGUUUUAGUAGAGAUUUGUGUUUCUGGUCAAUUUUAUUAUAUGUCCAUAUCAAUGCAGCCGGUGUGUAGUAAGAAAGAAGACAAAAAUAAGAAUCUAUUUUCAUAACUCUCAGAAGAAUUUUCUAAAAACUUGUCUUCCUGCUUUCUAGUUAAUUGAAAUUUCCUUCCCUUGACUCACUACUUUCAAGGGCAAAACCAAAGGACAUCUUCUGGGCUCAGUUCCCAUAGAGGAAUGUGCAUGUAGUUGCUGCCCACUACCUGGGAAUAUAUUUUCUAAAGAUCUCUCCUGGCUGUUUUAAAUAUAUUUGUUAUUUUCUUUAUUUUGUUUAAUCAACUGUUUUCUCACUGGUUUUAUUUACACAGUGUAACAUGCAUACAAAUUGCAGUAUAUAAACUAUAACAUGAAAUUACCACAUAGCCAAAUUUCUGCUAAUACAUGCUUACUUUUUCUUCUCCACCCCCCAAAACAUCCCAACAUUAAAGCAAAAUAAAAGAAAAAUACAAGCCAAAACCCUCGAAAAAACCCAACAAAGACUUAUUAACAUUUUGGAAAAUAAAAAUAGGCCUAGUAACGCUCACUAGAAAACUGAAGCUAUUCCUAUUCUUUUCUAGCUGAAGGGGCAGACCUUGUCCUUUCCAUGGUGGUAUCUUACAGAAAGAAAAGUGAGUCCUCAGGCAACCAGAUCAAAUAGAGGACGUUGGUUAAAAACCUACUAUUACUGCUUGGAAAUGUGCUGAAAUUGCAGUAUCAUGUCCUGUGAUAAAUUUACAAGCAGUUGUGCCAUUGCUUCUCACUGUGUAUCUACACAGACUCUUGAGGUGUGAAAAUAGAUAAAUCCUGGGUAAAGAAAUCAAAGUUUUUGCUGCCUGGUAGUACAUGGCUUAGAAAAGGGUGAGGCAUGCAAUAGUGUCUCUGUGUGUGGGAAAUACUUAUCUGCAGCUAUAUUUUAAGUAUUGACAGUCAUGGAUUUUUUUAAAAGAGCUUUUUCCUCAGGUCUUGUAAGGAAGGCCCAAUAAUGGAGGUACCUGCAUGCUUUCCCAACUGAUCUUGGACUUAGGCUUGUGCUCUGGACAUACAUCACAGAAAUGUGAAGGAUUAUAAGGACAAGGAAAAGAUCGGAACAGGAUAAUACAACCUAGGAUGUGUUUCAUAAUGCCAUGACAUAUUACAAACCCCUACAAGGUAUAACCUUACUCACUGUGUAACACCUGCAGGACUCUGUUGUACCAUGCCCUUCUUAGUAAUUUGCUGACAUUUGGCUACUGAAAACCAAAUGCAUAUCUUUUUAUGUUUUUGUACAUCCAUAUUCUCUUAAAUAAAACCUAUUAACUUGAAAAUGCUGGAGUUAGAUUUUUAUCUCUCCUUCAUGCUUGAUUCUGAAAAAUGUUCCCUAGUCCUUUCAGGUCUACUAUAAUUCAGACGUCAUCUUUAAAUUAACAUAAAAUAUUCAGAGAGAAGGAUUUAGGUGAAAAUACAAUGGAUAUAACAUCCUCCUCUGUUCACCACACAUUUUCCAUUGAUGCCUCCCAAUUAUGAGAAAUGCACUAUUAUGUACAUUGCUUCCUGGGAUUUUCAGUUUCUGUGUAUCAUUUUUGGGUUAAGUGCUCCUUUGGUAAUCCACAUCUAGCUGUAUUUUUAUCAUGAACCCAAUGUCAAGUAAAUGCAAGCUCUCAGCUAAUGAACACCUUGACCCCUGCUUUCAAGAGGAACUGAAAGAAGCACAAAACAAAUAAUACACUUCCUUUACUGUUUAAUAUAUAUUUAAUAUAUAAACUGUGUCAUACUCCACAAGGUUUUUCUUUGAACCUUCUCCUAAAACUAAAUUUGUAAUCAGAGCAGAUGUCACAAUUUUACUUCUGUGUACAUCUCUCCAUAGUGCGAUGAGAUGCUGUCUAUUUACAUAUGAAAAUUCAAGUCAUCAAUUGGCCCAGGUGGUUGUACUUAUUUGACUUAAGCCAAUGUGGGUGUGAAACCUUGGAAUGAAAAUAUACACGUUGCUUGUACUGCUGCACAAAUAACAUCCCUGAAGAGAACUGAAAGGAAAUGGUAAAGCUGAGCUAACCUAAUAUGCUCUGUUUAAUAAGGGGCUCUGUGGCUUUGGAGCAAUGACAUCUCUGUAUUGCAGGAUCACUUUUAUUCCCCACUAGAUUCUUAACAGCCAGAACAACACGUGUGCCUGUGUGGCAUUGCUAUCAGCCUAGAAAAUACUUUUUGGUCUGACCUGGUUCUGACCUGCCCUGCCAAACACCCAGAGACAUGUUCCCAAUUUGCUUCACCUGCUUUUAGCCAGUACACCCUAGGAGCCACCACAUGGUGCUGGGGGGAGCCCAAACACACCUACAGGCUGCUGGGCAGCCAGUCCUUAGCUGUGCCAAGACCAUGGGGGAACACCAUCCUCUUGCCUGUCCCUCAGCACCUCCAGAGGCAGAAGCUCCACACACCUUUUGCUCCAAGCAAGCUCAUACAUUCACACUUUUCAGUGCUAAGGCUUUGCUUUUUGCUCCA
Long non-coding RNA from Lepidothrix coronata (blue-crowned manakin), 5401 nucleotides. RefSeq lists it as uncharacterized. The record is from RefSeq and is a predicted model, not a curated record. NCBI's taxonomy places the organism in Eukaryota, Metazoa, Chordata, Aves, Passeriformes, Pipridae. The transcript has 4 exons.